RNAcentral lists this transfer RNA (79 nucleotides) under Mycobacteroides abscessus. Its description in RNAcentral is "tRNA-Glu(ttc)". It matches the Rfam family "tRNA". Rfam says of the family: Transfer RNA (tRNA) molecules are approximately 80 nucleotides in length. Lineage: Bacteria; Bacillati; Actinomycetota; Actinomycetes; Mycobacteriales; Mycobacteriaceae. RNAcentral also lists the same sequence under 2 other names. The record is from RNAcentral.
GGCGCCGUUGCUCUGCUGGUUAGGGGCGACCGGAUUUUCACUCCGGGUACAGCGCGGGUUCGAUUCCCGUCGGCGCUGC